AUGUCGAAGUGAGGACGUGCUGGGUCCUCUGGUGUGAAAUUCCAGGUUUCCCUGGUCCUUCCGAUAGGAGCCGUGAUCAACUGUGCUGACAACACAGGAGCCAGAAACCUAUACAUGACCAAGGGAUAAUUGAACAGAAUUCCCACUGCUGGUAUGGGUGACAUGGUGAUGGCCACAGUUAAAAAAGGCAAACAAGAGCUUAGAAAAGGGCCGGGCAUGCUCAGAAAAAAGGUACAUCCAGCAGCGGUAAUUCGACAACGAAAGUUGUACCAGAGAAAAGAUGGUGUGUUUCUUCAUUUUGAAGAUAAUGCAGGAAUUAUAGUGAACAACAAAGGUGAGAUGAAAUGUUCUGCCAUUACAGGACCCGUUGCAAAGGAGUGUGCAGACUUGCGGCCCAGGAUUGCGUCCAAUGCUGGCAGCAUUGAAUGAUUCUCCAGUAUAUUUG
Molecule: non-coding RNA, 445 nt
Organism: Microcebus murinus (gray mouse lemur)
Lineage: Eukaryota; Metazoa; Chordata; Mammalia; Primates; Cheirogaleidae
Source: RefSeq, a predicted model, not a curated record